This is a long non-coding RNA of Clupea harengus (Atlantic herring), 377 nucleotides long. NCBI's taxonomy places the organism in Eukaryota, Metazoa, Chordata, Actinopteri, Clupeiformes, Clupeidae. The record is from Ensembl.
GUGUGUGUGUGUGUGUGUGUGUGUGUGUGUGUGUGUGUGUGUGUGUGUGUGUAAGGUGUGUGUGUGUGUGUGUGUGUGUGUGUGUGUGUGUAAGGUGUGUGUGUGUGUAAGGUGUGUGUGUGUGUGUGUGUGUGUGUGUGUAAGGUGUGUGUGUGUGUGUGUGUGUAAGGUGUGUGUGUGUGUGUGUGUGUGUGUGUGUAAGGUGUGUGUGUGUGUGUGUAAGGUGUGUGUGUGUGUGUGUGUGUGUGUGUGUGUGUGUGUGUGUGUGUGUGUGUGUGUGUGUGUGUGUGUGUAUCUCAUCAGCCACAUCAGCCAUGCCCACACCAGUACUGCCCGUCAGUCUCAUCACCCACAGCAGCCAUGCAAUCCCAAUGUGC